CGUUAAAACACCAAUUCCCGUACAAUCACCGAAGUUAAGCAACGUCUAUUCUGGUUAGUACCUAUAUGGGUGAACACUUGCGAAGAUCCGGUGCUGUAAG
Molecule: non-coding RNA, 100 nt
Organism: Acanthosepion pharaonis
Lineage: Eukaryota; Metazoa; Mollusca; Cephalopoda; Sepiida; Sepiidae
Source: the annotation of a GenBank genome assembly